This 253-nucleotide ribosomal RNA is filed under the name uncultured bacterium. RNAcentral's name for it is "partial 16S ribosomal RNA". It matches the Rfam family "Bacterial small subunit ribosomal RNA", at positions 524 to 776 of the family's 1533-position model. The record is from RNAcentral.
UACAGAGGUCUCAAGCGUUGUUCGGAUUCAUUGGGCGUAAAGGGUGCGUAGGCGGCGCGGUAAGUCGGGUGUGAAAUCUCGGAGCUUAACUCCGAAACUGCAUUCGAUACUGCCGUGCUUGAGGACUGGAGAGGAGGCUGGAAUUUACGGUGUAGCGGUGAAAUGCGCAGAUAUCAGGAGGAACACCGGUGGCGAAGGCGGUUCUCUGGGCAUGUCCUGACGCUGAGGAGCGAAAGUGUGGGGAGCGAACAGG